This 72-nucleotide transfer RNA is filed under the name Actinomycetota bacterium. RNAcentral describes it as "tRNA-Ile". It matches the Rfam family "tRNA". From Rfam's summary of the family: Transfer RNA (tRNA) molecules are approximately 80 nucleotides in length. The record is from RNAcentral. Lineage: Bacteria; Bacillati; Actinomycetota.
GGGCCCGUAGCUCAGCGGUAGAGCAGCGGACUCAUAAUCCGUCGGUCGAAGGUUCGACUCCUUCCGGGCCCA